Pelobates cultripes (western spadefoot toad) is the source of this 676-nucleotide non-coding RNA. NCBI's taxonomy places the organism in Eukaryota, Metazoa, Chordata, Amphibia, Anura, Pelobatidae. The record is from the annotation of a GenBank genome assembly.
AAAGAAGGAGGGACGAACUAGCAAGAACCAGAGAAAGAGAGGAGACAGUGUGCAUGAGAGAAGGAGUGAUAUAGAGGGGGGAGAGAGGCAGACAAGCUCGUAAAGUGAAGGAGUCGGUGAGGUAAACUUAGAGGGAGGAAGUGAGAAAUAGAACGUGACAGAUACAAAACAUGAUAUAAGGGAACAGACAGAUUCUCACCAAACAGGCAGAUGACAGAAACUAUAUAGAUAUACAUAGAGAGGUGUGUGUAUAGCUAUAUAGUUAUAUAGAUAUCCAACAAGGAAAGGAGUAGUCAGAUAUUAAUUUAAAAAACAUAUACACUACUAGAUGCAUGAAAGAAACUGAAAUUGGAGUCAGGCGGAUAUAAAACUAAAAGAAAGUAGGAACAGAGUACUUCAGAGAGUAUUGUGUGGUGAUGAACUCUCCCUCGACCUGAGUGACCACAGUUCAAGUGAAGUCCCUGCAGCAGACCGCCAAGAUGAGUGAGAUGUCCAGCUUCCUGCACAUUGGGGACAUCGUAUCCCUAUAUGCUGAAGGAACAGUGUGUGGCUUCAUCAGCACCCUGGGGUGAGUGUGACUAACAGAAAAGUAUUUCCGUAACUAAGGUUGCAUUGCAGGAACACGGCUGGAAUACAUAUAGCUUCUUGGCAUAUACUGACAUUUGUGUAUUGGUAG